RNAcentral lists this ribosomal RNA (260 nucleotides) under uncultured bacterium. RNAcentral describes it as "partial 16S ribosomal RNA". It matches the Rfam family "Bacterial small subunit ribosomal RNA", at positions 30 to 281 of the family's 1533-position model. The record is from RNAcentral.
AUUGAACGCUGGCGGCACGCUUAACACAUGCAAGUCGAACGGCAGCAUCAUUUGUACUUGUACAGAUGGAUGGCGAGUGGCGAACGGGUGAGUAAUGCGCAGGAAUAUGCCUUAAAGAGGGGGAUAACUUGGGGAAACUCAAGCUAAUACCGCGUGAACUCUGAGGAGUAAAGCUGGGGACCCAGAAGGGCCUGGCGCUUUAAGAAUAGCCUGCGUCCGAUUAGCUAGUUGUGGGUAAAGGCCGUACCAAGGCGAUGAUC